This is a long non-coding RNA of Homo sapiens (human), 711 nucleotides long. Ensembl annotates it as MIR7515 host gene. The record is from Ensembl. NCBI's taxonomy places the organism in Eukaryota, Metazoa, Chordata, Mammalia, Primates, Hominidae.
AUGCCAUUCCUGGGACCAUCAAAAAUGGCAGAGGUCACACAAAAAGGCAAAACUUUUAAGAGGUGUUUUAAACGUCGUAUGGGCCAAAGAGAAGCUGGAUUUCCUAUUGGAGUCACCUGUAACACACGUGUGACGAAAUUGGCCUGUGAGGACAAGGCAGUGAGCAGAGAGGACAGCAGUCCUUAUGAGAUCAAGCUCUAAGAAAAGUUGCUAAAACUGCUGUGAGAUUCUGGCUAAGAAAGUUUCAUGAGAAGUUUUACAGAAAAAUGUGAACGGAAGACAGAACUAGAUAUAAAUUUGAAUGUUUUGAGAAGAAUGCGAAGAAGAAAGGAAGAGUGAGCCUCUCUUUCCCAUCGUUACCCUCCAUUGUCCUCUUGACACCCUGCUUUCACAGAGAAAGAGUUUGAGACCCUCUCCCAGGAGCCAAGGAGAGGGGAACAGCUGGCUUCACAUCAUCUUUCUAUUCAACAAGAUACAAAAAGCUGAAGCCAGGAUGAUAGAAAAGCAACAAAGAAGACACGGUCCUUACUCAUUUCCCUUCCCACUUCAGAGCAAAUAUGGUGCCUGGUGUUCGAAGGGAGAACUUGUGGGCAGAGCAGGAAGCGUGUAUCCAUUUUCUAAUUUCAUCUUAUUUUCCUGCAUAUGUGCUCAUGACUUGGACCUGAUAUGAGAUUUUGCUUCUCCCAUUUUUGCCUCAAUAUUACCCCUUGG